AUUGAACUGAAGAGUUUGAUCCUGGCUCAGAUUGAACGCUGGCGGCAUGCCUUACACAUGCAAGUCGAACGGCAGCACGGGUGCUUGCACCUGGUGGCGAGUGGCGAACGGGUGAGUAAUACAUCGGAACAUGUCCUGUAGUGGGGGAKAGCCCGGCGAAAGCC
Molecule: ribosomal RNA, 164 nt
Filed under: Burkholderia gladioli
Lineage: Bacteria; Pseudomonadati; Pseudomonadota; Betaproteobacteria; Burkholderiales; Burkholderiaceae
Description: partial 16S ribosomal RNA
Rfam family: Bacterial small subunit ribosomal RNA
Source: RNAcentral